GGUCAGCCUCUGCUUCCCGACCAGAGUGUGCUGUGCCCGAAUUUGUGCCUCAGGCCGGCUAAGAACCAGGUUCAUACAGACACUUCGGCACAUAUCCUGCAGAAGAUCCGUCUGGUCCGUACACUUGGGUUCCCCUCAUCCUGUUUCCUCCAUGUCCCGCUGCAGCUCUCGAGUGAUACUGGCAUGUGGUCGCAGACUCCAAGCCAAGAAAGGAAUGUCUUUCGCUGAUGUGUUUUCCAAAACGGUCAAGGGUUAUUGGUACCUUUCCAGGUAAAACCUCGUGCCAGUUUCCCUCAGUUUACGGGGAAGUUACAUUAAUGGAAAAUCCAGUGUAUUGAAGUCUCUGCAAAACAGAUUUGCAUCCCUGCAACUUUGCCUUCCUGAAUGCCAGUACCACCCUUUCAUCAUUUCAGCAAUCAAAAUGGCCCUCUGAACUCUCCAAAAUGUGCCAGUAUUUUGGUUUAAAUACUAAGUACGAUGCGGUUUUAAACCACAAGAAGAGGGUCUUAUGCAGGUACCCCCAUCCCACCCAAAGCCUGGUAUUCACAGACAAAAGAUAGGAAGGUUGUGGUCCUUGUCUGCAUUUGGUCAGAGGAAAUAGCGUGGCAGCGUGGAGUAGGGCACAGUACCUUCCAGGAAGGAUUCUGGGCACCUUCCUCUUCCGUGUGCUUCCUGCGAUGAGAAAACGUUUCAGGGACAGCGGGGGUGUGAGGUAAAGCUUUGUUUCAGAGGUCACCACUGCCAUGGGAUGUCAGUGCCCAGGAUGGUUUUGUGGUAGUCACGGCCCUUAGCUCUGGACCUGGGGUUCUCCUCAUUGAUGAGAAGCCUUUCCAGGUGCGGACAGCAGGGUGAGGGGCUGGGCUAGGGCUUGAAAACUACUGUCCUGUUUGGCACAGCAGAUGAGAUCACAGACGGACAGCUGCAAGGAGAAGAGGGAGACGAUCUUCUAAGGUCAGGGCAAGGUUUCUGGCAGGUGAAGGGAAGACAUAGGCCCCAAGUUCUGGUUGCUCCAGGCUGACGUGGAAUGGAGUGUGGGUGCAAGAAUGAACCAAAGGCUGAGAGGAGGUGGGGAUAAUAGAUCGCAUAACCUCACAUCCUAUGGAUUACGUGGUCCCUGAGAAAAGCCCGUGCUGUCCUAGGAGCUAAAUGUCAUCUCCUGUCACCACCGCCACCCACUGGCCUGGAAGAGAAUGGUUUUGAGAUAGAACCCUUCAGGGAGAAAGGCCAGGGGGUCAUGGUGUCUUCUCAGAAAAUCCACUGCCCUACCCCUGUUUUGACUCUCACGCCGUGUGUUCUUUAUGUCCUGUCGUCUUGCCUGCUUUCAGGCUGGUCUUCUCAGGUGUGUAUCUGUCCAGAAAGUCAGUACGUUGGAGACGGGCUUGCUCCCAAAGGGGCUUAAUUCAGUUCUUGAGUGUUUCCUAGGCAGAGUUUAAAAAAAAAAUCACAGAUUCUAGGGCACCGUUGUGGCCACACUAAGUGAGAUUCAUUGGGUGUGGAUCACAGCAUGUGCAUUUUUUUAAGAGUUCCUGGGUUCUGACUCAUGUGGACAGCUUGUCUGGGAACUACUGGAGCAGGGGGAUGGUACUAUUUUUCUUGCCGCCAGGCUUCUCUCUCCUUUGUGAGGGUGCAGAAGUGACACCGGUUUUUGGUGCCUUCUCUAAGGAGGCUCUGAGAGUACUGUUUCCAGAAAGUCUCCAGAAUCCAGUCCAGUCGAGCUUCCGUCUGCAUGAUUGCUGUUGCACUCACAUUUCUGUUUACCGUGUGCUUCCAUGCGCUGCAACCAGUUAGUGGUCUGUGUUAGCCGUUAUUCUGCAUACUUUGCACUGGCCAUUGGAGCUUACCACUGACUGAACAAACCCACAGCGGGGUGAGUUUUCCACAACGCCUUCAGACCCGUGCCUCCAGCCCUCACAGCUGGGCGACACUGAGCAAGCUGCUUAACAGAAUCUGAGAGCCUCGUUUCAUGUAGCAACAUGGAAAUACUUGUUAAUGCCAAGCGGAGCUGCUUCUUGGGGCCGUUUAGAGCACUGACUGUGUUAAGACAAGGAAAGUUGUCAGGGCAGUGCCUGGCAUGUGGAGAGCUGUCAGCGAGUUCUAGCUGCUGUUCCUGUUGUCAUUCUCACAUUUCCCUGAAGCGUUUUCCAGACGCGUGGUGUCAAGACUACCUCUGACUCACCGGAGGGACUUGGCACUCUCACGUCAGCAACUCAAGAGACUCCAGAGUCAAGUCGGGGGUGGGGGGUGGGUGCCCAGGGGAGGGCGUGUUUUUCCUUACCAUAGUGAGUGUUCGGCCAACCUUAUGGGUUAUUAUGAAGCCUGAAUGGAAAGUUCUCUAGGAAGUUAGAACAAAUGACCCAUUCAUACCUCUUACACGAUGGUUGGAAAAGUAAGUGGUCACUGGAUAAGGACAGAACACGAGUCUGUGAAUUUGCAUAAUCAUGUCAAAGAGUGAAAUUUCAAGGCCAGAGACCCGCAUCAUGUGGCUUCUUUUCUGGCUGUUAGUUCUAUUGAAUCCACUUCUGCAUCAGAUGGUCACAAGUGAACCUGGGAAAGAUAGGAAACUGUUACUAGUCAAAUUGUCGUCGGCAAGACUUUAUUUCUCAUGGAGUUUUCACCUGUCCAGUUUUAUUGUAUGGAUUUUUCUCUUCCACUGAUACUCAUUAUUGAUUUAACAAAGGCUGAUGUAUUAAUAUUUUCGGAGCUCCGUCAUGAGGAGAUGGUAAACAGUGUUUCUGGAGAGUCUGAGGAAAGGGGCAGGGGGGAGGGAAAGGCGGAGGGUGAGGUGAAGGUGUACGGGGGGCGGGGGCAGGAGGAGAGACGUCACGGCAAAGAGGAGGGGAAGGAUGAGGGGCACAAGCAGAAAGAAGUAAAGAGACAUAGGAGUAGAAGCUCACACGUCCGGAGGCUUCCUUUAGGCUUGGCAUUGUUUUUAGCUCUUUCUCUACAGAUAGAAUUUUAAAAGUCAUUUAAAAGUCUCUUCAACACUGGGAGGUAAAUAUUUUUAAUGUUAACAUCCCCUUUUUACAAACCAGAAAACCGAGACACGUAGAGGUUAAGAGGGGAAAUAACUUCCCUGAAGCCACCUAGCCAGCAAGGGCAGAGUCGGGGUUGUACCCAGGUCAGAGAGAAACAUAAAGAGACUUGGGAUUUGCCCCUCAACUGCAGUGCACCUCAGUGUCCAGUGUCCUCCGGCUCAAAAGGCCGGUGAACGUGUGCAGCAGCUUAAUCUGAUUACACUGCAUCUGGGUAUGGAUUGAUCCUGAUGUCUCUUCAGUGCGUGAAACACUGUGGGGUGGCAAGUCACUCUAGGCACAUCAGUAAGUGGGUACCUGGUUCAUAUCAAGGCCUGUACAUGUGGACGUCACCAUCAUUAUCAUGAUGGACAGUAGUUUAUGGUAUAAUGUUGGGAAGUAAAACAACAGAGAAAAGAGUGUAGAUGACCUCCCCGCUCCAAUCUCGUAAUUUAAAAAAAAAUGCAUAGAAUGAAGCCUGGAUGACAGUACACCACAUUAAGUCAUUUUCCCUAAGUGUGAAACUCUUAGAUAAUUGGCAGAUAACGUUUUGUUCGCUGUUCGAUGUGCCGUGUCUUCUCUGUUAUUGCACAGCCAGUGUUUCUGUUACACGUUUUAAGUCAUUUUGAUGAAGACUCCAGCUUUGAUAUCCUAGCCAGGAGAAACACCAGUCGGGGCAUUUAAUGGAGAGAGGAGAUCUUUGGUUCAGUAGAGAGGAGCAGUGGGGGAAGCAGAGAGCUUUGGGCGGAAGGUUAGCUAAGUCUGCAGUUGCUGUGAAAUCACCCCAGAGGAUACAGGCCAAAACCAAAUCAAACCAGAUAGCAGCUUGCGUAUCCCGAGGAGGAGACCGUUGCGCCAUUGAGAUGAGUAUCUGCACUAAGAUUUCUUAGACUUUUAUUCUCCGUUGGCCCCUGUGGUGCAGCAGGGCGACGUGUGGUGCUUAGGAGGCAGCACUGCUCGGCGCUGGGCUGUGGGUGAGAGCAGCAGCCUCACCUGAAGCAUUCUCCUUUUGAGGGCCAGUUGGAGUACUUUCCUUGAUGUCUGGAAGCUGACGGAUUCAGAAGAGAAAACAGAAAAUACACAGCACAGCAGUUAGAUCCAGCUCUCCUCCAACAGAUCCCUACAUCGCAAGUGAGCCGCAGGCACAGGUGUUGUAGUCAUUGGUUGGGAAUUAGCAGGUUGGGUUGGGAGACUCGAAGAAGAAACAUGGAAGUGAAUAAAAGGUGAGAGAACACCUCAAGAGGGGACAAACCGCAGCCAUCCUAUUUUCUGGCCUUGCUUUUCUGCUAAGAAAAUCGUGUGCUCCGUUACUGUGGGGAGAGGGCAUCCUGGCCCGAGGUCUGGGAAGGAAUCACUGCAAGUGGUGAUGAGCAUUCUGAGGACCCACCGUCAGCGGUAACAAGGGGACACUGAGUGUGUGAAGGCGCCGAGGCCUCUGCCUUUACCAUAGACUCAAAGCUUUUUAGCCCUGCUGAGAGUCAUGCUGCUUCACCUUGCAGAAGCUCAGAGCCACCAUCUAGCAAAACUGCUGGUGCUUCUCCACAUCCUAAUCCAGCUCGGGGUGUCCGCCCAGGCACUGCUCACUGAUCUGCAGGAGCGUAAUGGUGACCGUGUGUGUUUGUGCGCAAGUGCGUAACAGGCAUAGGGAGAGAGACUGUUCAUUUAACUGUGAUUCACCGAGUUCCCAGCCACUAUCUGGACACUGUGUUGGGUGCCUGGGAGAUGUAGUUAAUAAAGACACUUCCCUGUUUUUGUGCAGUUUAUGCCAGAUCAUCAGAGAGUAGUUAAUCUAACCAUCAUACAAGGAAACAUAAAAAUUACACCUGUGAUUAGUGGUGCAAAGAGGUGCACUUUAUGGAGGUAUGACUGAUAGGUAGAGCUGUAUGUAUUUCAUGUGUACAACUUAUAUGCCAUCUCUGCCAUCUAGGACAUAGAUGGAACCAUCACCUUCCAGGGUUUCCUCCCGCCCCCUUUGUCUUGUGGGUGUGGUGAUUAUAUUCUUACCAUUAGUGGUAAGAACACUUAGCAUAAGAUCAUCUGGUAGUGAUUUUAAGUAUACAGCACGGUUAUCCUCAGCGAAUGGCACGGUGUGUGCAGUAGAACUCCAGAAUGUAUUUAUCUUGCAUAAUUAUAAGUUUGGACCUUUGACUAUCACCUCACGCACGGUUCACCCCUGUCCCAAUCCCUGGCAACCAUUGUUCUGUGCUCUGCUUCUAAGAGUCUGUUUUAGAUUGCAUAUACAAGUGAGACAAUGCAGUGUUUGUCUUUCUGUGUCUGCUUUAUCGUACUUCGCCAUCAUGCACCCUAGGUUUGCACGGCA
Lontra canadensis (Northern American river otter) is the source of this 5331-nucleotide RNA transcript. It is a transcript of the gene named family with sequence similarity 156 member A, with no coding region annotated. Lineage: Eukaryota; Metazoa; Chordata; Mammalia; Carnivora; Mustelidae. The transcript is spliced from 2 exons. The record is from RefSeq and is a predicted model, not a curated record.